Molecule: ribosomal RNA, 410 nt
Filed under: Actinomycetes bacterium
Lineage: Bacteria; Bacillati; Actinomycetota; Actinomycetes
Description: Actinobacteria bacterium partial 16S ribosomal RNA
Rfam family: Bacterial small subunit ribosomal RNA
Source: RNAcentral
UGGGGAAUAUUGCACAAUGGGCGCAAGCCUGAUGCAGCGACGCCGCGUGGGGGAUGACGGCCUUCGGGUUGUAAACUCCUUUCGCUAGGGACGAAGCUUUUUGUGACGGUACCUAGAUAAGAAGCACCGGCUAACUACGUGCCAGCAGCCGCGGUAAUACGUAGGGUGCGAGCGUUAUCCGGAAUUAUUGGGCGUAAAGCGCGCGUAGGCGGUUUUUUAAGUCUGAUGUGAAAGCCCACGGCUCAACCGUGGAGGGUCAUUGGAAACUGGAAAACUUGAGUGCAGAAGAGGAAAGUGGAAUUCCAUGUGUAGCGGUGAAAUGCGCAGAGAUAUGGAGGAACACCAGUGGCGAAGGCGACUUUCUGGUCUGUAACUGACGCUGAUGUGCGAAAGCGUGGGGAUCAAACAGG